AUACUCUGGUUUCUCUUUGAAUCAUAUAAAAUUUUCAUCUUUUACUAAAGACUUCCAUGGAAAGGAACAUAUAUGACUUUGUAACUACUUGUUGGAAGCUUUACGCUACCCAAGUC
This is a small nuclear RNA of Crotalus tigris (Tiger rattlesnake), 116 nucleotides long. RefSeq annotates it as U5 spliceosomal RNA. Lineage: Eukaryota; Metazoa; Chordata; Lepidosauria; Squamata; Viperidae. The record is from RefSeq and is a predicted model, not a curated record. The transcript has a single exon.